AAAAGGGACGCCGUGAGCUCGUGGCUGCCCAGGCGGAGGCUGUAAACAACCUGGACGAGAAAACCUAAUAGCCUACAACGAAAUCUAAGGCAGC
RNAcentral lists this long non-coding RNA (94 nucleotides) under Pogona vitticeps (central bearded dragon). RNAcentral describes it as "lncRNA (ENSPVIG00000000291.1)". The record is from RNAcentral. Lineage: Eukaryota; Metazoa; Chordata; Lepidosauria; Squamata; Agamidae.